CUUCGAUCUUUGUCAUGGUGUGCGGGAUCUUUAGUUGUGGUGUGCAAACUCUCAGUUGCAGCUUGUGGGAUCCAGUUCCAUGACCAAGGAUUGGACC
MicroRNA precursor from Bos indicus x Bos taurus (hybrid cattle), 97 nucleotides. The record is from Ensembl. Lineage: Eukaryota; Metazoa; Chordata; Mammalia; Artiodactyla; Bovidae.